GCUAGCGGCAGGCCUAAUACAUGCAAGUCGAACGGUAAGGACUCGCUUGCGAGUCACACGAGUGGCGCACGGGUGCGUAACGCGUAUGCAACCUACCUUCAACUGGAGCAUUGCCCCGAGAAAUCGGGAUUAAUACUCCAUAACAUCCAAGGAUCGCAUGGUUUUUGGAUUAAAGUCCCGACGGUUGAAGAUGGGCAUGCGUGACAUUAGUUAGUUGGUGAGGUAACGGCUCACCAAGACCACGAUGUCUAGGGGUUCUGAGAGGAUUAUCCCCCACACUGGUACUGAGACACGGACCAGACUCCUACGGGAGGCAGCAGUAAGGAAUAUUGGUCAAUGGACGCAAGUCUGAACCAGCCAUGCCGCGUGCAGGAUGACAGCCCUAUGGGUUGUAAACUGCUUUUAUACGGGAAGAAUCCCCUGUACGUGUACAGGGUUGACGGUACCGUAGGAAUAAGCAUCGGCUAACUCCGUGCCAGCAGCCGCGGUAAUACGGAGGAUGCAAGCGUUAUCCGGAUUCAUUGGGUUUAAAGGGUGCGUAGGCGGGAUGAUAAGUUAGUGGUGAAAGCCCCCGGCUUAACCGGGGAACUGCCAUUAAUACUGUCAUUCUUGAGUAUAGUUGAAGUAGGCGGAAUGUAUCAUGUAGCGGUGAAAUGCUUAGAUAUGAUACAGAACACCGAUAGCGUAGGCAGCUUGCUAAGCUAUAACUGACGCUCAGCAC
RNAcentral lists this ribosomal RNA (721 nucleotides) under uncultured Bacteroidota bacterium. RNAcentral describes it as "bacterial SSU rRNA". It matches the Rfam family "Bacterial small subunit ribosomal RNA", at positions 35 to 754 of the family's 1533-position model. Lineage: Bacteria; Pseudomonadati; Bacteroidota. The record is from RNAcentral.